CUGAGGCUAGGCAUCUUCCACAGAUUUCUCUGGAUAUACUCCAUGCAGACUGCUGGGGACAACCACUGUCCUGAAAUGCUUUUCUGUGUUUUGGGAUCAGUGGAAGAAUAUGCUUAAUGCCUGAAAGAAGGGCUUCCUGGACUUCUUAUGGAACCCAUCAGUAGCGGUAUUAGAAAAUGAAGGCAAGAAUGAGCAGAAUGUAAGGCCUUGGAGGCUGCCCAAAGAGGACCUCGAAGAUUUCUCCUUCAGCAUACUGGUGAAAAACCACAAAGAAGGUUUGUUCAUUGUUUGCUGUUGUCCAUAACUAUAAAUAGCUUCACGCUGCAAGGGUUGGAAAACUCUGUGGCAAGAAAACAAAAGAUCUUUCUCCAGCCCCAAAGUCAUGAUUUCAACAGAUAAGCAGGAACCCUCAAGAUAAAGGGAAAGCUGCAAGAAGAAGAGG
Long non-coding RNA from Sphaerodactylus townsendi, 442 nucleotides. RefSeq lists it as uncharacterized. The record is from RefSeq and is a predicted model, not a curated record. NCBI's taxonomy places the organism in Eukaryota, Metazoa, Chordata, Lepidosauria, Squamata, Sphaerodactylidae. The transcript is spliced from 2 exons.